GAUGAAGAACGUAGCGAAAUGCGAUAAGUAAUGUGAAUUGCAGAAUUCAGUGAAUCAUCGAAUCUUUGAACGCACAUUGCGCCCCUUGGUAUUCCGAGGGGCAUGCCUGUUCGAGCGUCAUUAUAACCCCUCAAGCUCAGCUUGGUGUUGGGGCCUGCUGCACUGGCAGCCCUUAAAAUCAGUGGCGGCGCCAUCUGGCUCUAAGCGUAGUAAUUCUUCUCGCUAUGGAGUCCUGGUGGAUGCUUGCCAUCAACCCCCAAUUUUUCUAUGGUUGACCUCGGAUCAGGUAGGGAUACCCGUUGAACUUAAGCAUAUCAAUAAGCGGAGGA
Molecule: unclassified non-coding RNA, 329 nt
Filed under: soil metagenome
Description: partial contains 5.8S ribosomal RNA, internal transcribed spacer 2, and large subunit ribosomal RNA
Rfam family: 5.8S ribosomal RNA (bases 1-120)
Source: RNAcentral